GACGAACGCUGGCGGCGUGCUUAACACAUGCAAGUCGAACGGUGAAGCGCCUUCCUUUUUGGUUGGUGUGGAUGAGUGGCGGACGGGUGCGUAACACUUGAGUAACCUUGCCCCUUCUUCUGCAUAACCGCAUGAAAGUGUGUCUAAUACGGGAUCUUCUGCGUCUGUCGCAUGAUGGGUCUGGGUAAGAUGUUGUGGCGGUGGGGGAUGGGCUCGCGGCCUAUCAGCUGGUUGGUGGGGGAGUGGCCUACCAAGGCGAGGACGGGUGGCCGGCCGGAGAGGGAGAGCGGCCACAUUGGGACUGAGAUACGGCGCAGACGCCGACGGGAGGGAGCAGUGGGGGAUAUUGCAGAAUGGGCGGAAGCCGGAUGCAGCAACGCCGCGUGCGGGAUGACGGCCUUCGGGUUGUAAACCGGUUUCGCCGGUGACGAAGGGUGAGUGACGGUAAUGGGUAAAGAAGCACCGGCUCACUACGUG
This 477-nucleotide ribosomal RNA is filed under the name uncultured bacterium. RNAcentral describes it as "partial 16S ribosomal RNA". It matches the Rfam family "Bacterial small subunit ribosomal RNA", at positions 28 to 507 of the family's 1533-position model. The record is from RNAcentral.